RNAcentral lists this small RNA (710 nucleotides) under Pan troglodytes (chimpanzee). RNAcentral's name for it is "retained intron". The record is from RNAcentral. Lineage: Eukaryota; Metazoa; Chordata; Mammalia; Primates; Hominidae.
UUUAAGAUCACUUAAAAAUUUGAGAAUGAAAUUGAUUCACAUUGUGACAUGUCCAUAGCAAACUCGGGCUUUGGGCUGGCUUUCCCUCUUUGCUUAGUAUUUAUCUGUUCUGUCUUCUUUGCCCUGCUGGUGUGUGCUUAGAAAAAUGAACAAUCAUUUUAAUGUUAUAUUCAGCAGAACAAGUUGGCAGUGAACACACUGUAAAGUUAGUAUGCUUUUCAGGUUGACGUUGCAGUGGUAUAACCCUGCAAAAGUAGAUAACAGGGUUAAACAAAAAUUGAUUUUAGCUCUUUAUUUGUACGUUUUUUCUUCAGCUUGGAUUUUCAGUGUUGAUGCUGCAUGUUAUAGGCUGUGAAGUUUGACAAUACCCAAAAGAGAAUGAAAGUGGAAAUGAGAGGAAUUUGGUAACACGGUGUUUUUAAUGUGAACUUUUUGUUUAAAGCAAAUGCAGCCCUGAGGAUUUGGCUACUGCAUAUAACAACAGGGGGCAAAUCAAGUACUUCAGGGUUGAUUUUUAUGAAGCCAUGGAUGACUACACAUCUGCCAUAGAAGUCCAACCCAAUUUUGAAGUUCCAUAUUACAACAGAGGGUUGAUACUGUAUAGGCUGGGAUAUUUUGAUGAUGCUUUGGAAGAUUUCAAGAAGGUCUUAGACUUAAAUCCUGGAUUUCAAGAUGCUACUUUGAGCUUAAAACAGACUAUUCUAGACAAA